RNAcentral lists this long non-coding RNA (212 nucleotides) under Elaeis guineensis (African oil palm). Its description in RNAcentral is "long non-coding RNA (EGUI_LNC038183)". Lineage: Eukaryota; Viridiplantae; Streptophyta; Magnoliopsida; Arecales; Arecaceae. The record is from RNAcentral.
GUGGGAGGGUCUGCCAAAGCUUGCCUUAGACACCAUCAAAAAUGGCCAGAUAAGCAUGCUGCCAAUUAAAAACCACCAAUCUGGUUUACCUUAGACACCAACUGGUUUAAUUAGUUUCGAUUAGAUCAACCUAACAGUUCGUGCUAGAUCACUUAGCCAAAAAUUAAGUCUAUUUGGUUCUUGUUAAAGACAUGGACUUGACCAACUACAAC